GCAUUAGAAGCUCUUGUUGAACACAGAAUCACUGGUUUUCCUGUUAUUGAUGAUGAUUGGAAAUUGGUUGGACUUGUUUCUGAUUAUGACUUGCUAGCAUUGGACUCCAUAUCUGGGCAGCGGACUAAGAAUGACUUGUUUUCUAAAGUUGAU
This is a long non-coding RNA of Hibiscus syriacus, 153 nucleotides long. RefSeq lists it as uncharacterized. The record is from RefSeq and is a predicted model, not a curated record. NCBI's taxonomy places the organism in Eukaryota, Viridiplantae, Streptophyta, Magnoliopsida, Malvales, Malvaceae. The transcript is spliced from 3 exons.